AUCCCUGCCGAUCCUGUUGCUGCCGCCUUCCCGCCGUGCUCGGGCUGCCCGGGACUCUAGCCGCCAGGCUUCGCGUCGCCCAGCGGCAGAUCGGGCUCCUGGGAGCCUCUCCCCUGGCCGUUUGCUCGGCCUCGGCCCCAGCUGCCCUGGGGCCUAGCCACUAGCUCCCCUGGCGCUAGCCUACCCUGUCUUGACCGCACCCUGAAGAUUUGGGAAGUCUUUCUCCAUCCCAAGAGUCGUCUCUGCAAAAGUUGGUGUCCUUCCUGGUGCUGAACCACGCUUCUGCUCAAAAUGUGUUGAGCGUCGUCUGUCUGCAAAGCACGGUGCCAGGAGCUUUGGUGGAGAAGGCAUGGGGUACAUGUGUAAAGAGUACAGGCUUUUGGUUAAACCUGAAGUCCUCCUCUACUUUCUGGGGGACCCUGGCCGUCCUUGCUGAGCCUCCGUUGACUUCUCUAAUGGGGACGGUAAUGCCUACCUGACCACAAGCUGAUGAGUAAAUGAGCUAUGAGUGCAAAGUGUGGUGCAGUUCUGGCGUGUGCCAGCCUCUCAAGUGUCAGUUUCCGUCUCAUUCCUCUUAAUCUUCACUAAAAUGGACAAGUAUUCAUUGAGCACCUAAUGCGUGUUCAGUAUGGUGGGAGAUGAGGGAUGACAGUAUUAUUUUUCUAUUUUAUAGGUUAGACAUAGAACAAAAGGUUGAGUCUAUUGCCCAUAGCCGAACUUUUCUUCAUUUUCUACUGUGGUUUAGAAGUCGGUAUAGUAAGUUAAGGGUUGUUAGAUGUGCAUUUUCACAGCUCCCAGCUUCCACUUAGGAGUAGAUAACAUAGGGGACUUUGCGAGCUGGUCUCUUUCCCUCUUAGCUUCAGAAGGGCUUCGAGGUAGCCACCACUGAAUUAGUUGAGAGACAAGGCACCCCUACGGAGGAAAUCUCAACUGCACAACCCCUACUGUGCCCCAAUUCAGCAGGAAGCAGUUAGAGCGGUGGUCAAACCUCCCCAAUAGCACUUGGGUUUUCCUGUUGAGAGGGGGUACUGAGAGACAGGACUAGUUGGAUUUCCUAGGCUGGCUAAGAAUCCCUAAGCCUAGCUGGGAAAUUGACCACGUCCACCUUUAAACACGGGGCUUGCAAUUUAGCUCACACCCGACCAAUCAGGUAGUAAAGAGAGCUCACUAAAAUGCUAAUUAGGGAAAAACAGGAGGUAAAGAAGUAGCCAAUCAUCUAUCGCCUGAGAGCACAACAGGAGGGACAAUGAUCAGGAUAUAAACCCAGGCAUUCAAGCCAGCGGUGGCUACCCUCUUUGGGUCCCCUCCCUUUGUAUGGAAGCUCUGUUUUCACUCUAUUAAAUCUUGCAAUUGCACACUUUUCUGGUACGUGUGUGUCACAGCUCAAGCUGAGCUUUCGCUCACCGUCCACCACUGCUGUCUGCCGCUGUCACAGACCCACAGCUGACUUCCAUCCCUCUGGAUCCAGCGAGGCGCCCAUUGCUGCUCCUGAUCGGGCUAAAGGCUUGCCCUUGUUCCUGCAGGGCUAAGUGCCCAGGUUCGUCCUAAUCUAGCUAAACACUAGUCACUGGGUUCCACGAUUCUCUUCCAUGACCCACAGCUUCUAAUAGAGCUAUAACACUCGCCGCUUGGCCCAAGAUUCCAUUCCUUGGAAUCCAUGAGGCCAAGAACCCCAGGUCAGAGAACACAAGACUUGCCACCAUCUCGGAAGUGGCCCGUCACCAUCUUGGAAGCGACCUGCCACCAUCUUGGGAACUUGGGGAGCAAGGACCCCCAGUAACAUAGUGACCAGGAGGAAAUUCUUCCUCUCAACAGCUAAUGCAGCAGGAUCUCUUACACCGUACCCUCCCUCACCUUGCUCUUGCUCUUCAUGGUAGAACACGUACCAUAUCUUAGCUGUACUCUAUCAACUGCGCAUCUGAAGUAAAGAGUGAAGUCUUCUUUGUUUCCAGUCAUGGAGCAACAACUUGCUAUGAUACUGGCCUUCUGUAGCUGACUCUUCUUUGUCUACCCAGGCACUCUAAUGGAACUUUAAUUCUAGCUAAAGUUAUUUUCUCAGACUCCUUUGAAGCAAGGGGCAGCCAUUUGACACACUUCAAGCCAAUGAGUUGAAUGUUGAACUUAUUGCUGAGGCUUCUAAGAAAGCAUAUAGAUGGAAGGGCUCUGCGAAUCAGAGCUCAUCUUUGCCCUACACCUGUCUUCCAGGAGGAACGUGAAGAGCUACAGCACUCAUAGUUCAGUCAUGAAACAACAAACAGGAGAACAAUGGCCUGCAUUCCAAGGAUGGCAGAGCAGAAAACUGUAAAGAGGCUGGGCAUUUGAUGGCAUUGUGGUGCCACCAGACAAGCCCUAAGCUAUCUUCCCUAAGACUUCUUGUUUUGGGUCAAAUUCCUGUUUAAGCCAGGAAGUUUUCACAACCUUCACCACCCAGUCCUGCAGCUGUUGUCUCAUGCUUGUGACUCAGACUUCCAGGAAUCCUUUAGAAGUGAUGUGGUGAUCUCGUUUGGCACUAUGCAAUGUACACUAUUAAUGAAGAUAAGAACUGGAAAUGUCAAAGAACAAUUGCCCAGCUCAGUUACCAUCUGCUACUAAAGAUAGCCCCAGCUGGGUGCGAUGGCUCACACCUGUAAUCCCAACACUUUGGGAGGCUGAGGCAGGUGGAUCACCUGAGGUCAGGAAUUCAAGACCAGCCUGGCCAACAUGGUGAAACCCCAUCUCUACUAAAAAUACAAAAAAUUAGCUAGGUGUGGUGGUGCAUGCCUGUAAUCCCAGCCACUAGGGAGGCUAAGGCAGGAGAAUUGCUUGAACUCUGGCAGCAGAGGUUGCAGUGAGCUGAGAUUGUGCCACUGCACUCCAGCCUGGUCGACAGAGUGAGACUCAGUCUCAAAAAAAAAAAGCCCGUAAUGAGAACUCUCAAGAGUACCAUGGUAAUAUAAUAUGGUAAUAGAUAAUAAAAGAGUCAUGAUCAUUAAUAAUAAAUAUAAUACUUCUACUUCAACUGAGGAAUGGAAAACUAAACAUCAUAUGUUCUCAUAUGUCCCUAAGCUAUGAGGAUGCAAAGGCAUAAGAAUGAUACAAUGGACUUUGGGGACUUUCAGGGAAAGGGUGAGAAGGGCGUAAGGGAUAAAAGACUACAAAUUGGGUUCAGUAUAUACUGCUCGGGUGAUGGGUGCACCAAAAUCUUAAAAAUCGCCAAAGAACUUAUGUAACUAAAUACCACCUGUUC
RNAcentral lists this long non-coding RNA (3226 nucleotides) under Homo sapiens (human). Its description in RNAcentral is "non-protein coding lnc-SEPT7-3:5". The record is from RNAcentral. Lineage: Eukaryota; Metazoa; Chordata; Mammalia; Primates; Hominidae.